Molecule: long non-coding RNA, 1210 nt
Organism: Aquila chrysaetos chrysaetos
Lineage: Eukaryota; Metazoa; Chordata; Aves; Accipitriformes; Accipitridae
Exons: 2
Source: RefSeq, a predicted model, not a curated record
CGAACGAGGGCCGGGAGGCGGCAGGGGACAGCGGGGGAAAGAGGCGGCGGAAAAGUGCAGAAGUCAAAGGCACUGGGAGAUUUACUCCAACAAAUAGCAGAGUCAGGAAGAAACCUCAGAGAUAAGAGCAGGCACACCAGCUCCCUAACAUCCAAAUGUUCAGAUAGCCAGUCAAGUCCCCCGCAAGUACUGCAGCUCAGCAAGCCCCAUGGCUCUGGCCUGACGGUCCCCUCGCUGGCAAAGACGGCAAACAUGAGAGGGGGCAGGAGAAUGAGGGAUAAGGGGAGGAGGGGUGGAAUGAACCAAGGCUGGCCCGAGACUCUUUGCUCCAGUUUCACAAUGCAGAAUCAACAUUAAAAAAGACCUGACGUUCAUUUUCAGAGUGUACGGUCCACCUGUAUUGGCUCCUAUAAGAACUGGGGGGAAGAAGAGGAGAUGGAGGAGUACAACAUCCCUGAUUUCACCUGUUAAGGAACGGCGUCUUAGACCCUUCUCCUCAGAGCACAUGUGGAGGAUGAGAGGGCACAAAACAAAAAGGAUGGAAUACAGGAGGAGAAAAGAAAGACAGAGCACCAACCAGGUCUGGUUUAGAAAAUAAUCUAAAGCCUCCUAGAAUCAAUAGGAAGUCCCUUUAAUUGAUUGCAAUGGGCUUUGAAUUAGACCUAUAUUCUACUUAUCAAGUACAGCUGCUGAGAAUCAAUAAUAUUUUGACUUCACCCUCAAAGCAACAACUACACUGGUAACUUUUGGCUAAGAAAAAGUACAAUUAACAGCAUAUUAAUUCAUUAGAGUUUCUCUCACUGAAGUCCCCUUCUCAUCAGAUUGUACAGUCAGCUGGCAUUUAUAAGUGAUCAUGCAGGCAUAAAUGUCCUAUAUAAAUGAGGCAGUAAAGAAAAAACUUUUGUUCUUAGCAUUAAUUCAGAUCAAAUAUUCAUUGAUAUCUACAUUUCUCAGCAAGUAUCUCAAGCAGAGAUCAAUAAACACUUAUUAGUCACUGACCAUGUUUCCUGCAGUAAAGGAGGGAAUGUCAGCCAGCAGAUGGGAGCAGCCAAAUAAUCAGGGGAGCUGGAGUCUAGUGCUUGUCUGCCAGAUGAUCAUUUACCUUCUCUUUGUCUCAGUUGCUGCAGCUAGAAAACUAUAGAUCAAAGGAUUAAAAAAAAAAAAAAAAAUAUUUUUAAUAGUCAUUCCUUAAAAAUACAAAUCAUUAUUU